UUUAAUUUAAAUUAAAACAAUUAUUUUGUGUUAUUCAUUGGUAAUAAAGCUUCUUUAGGUACAACAGCAUCAUGCAGAUCAUGUUGAUGUAAAGUUUGAAAGUAGUAGAAAAAUACACGGAAAAAAAUGGUUGACCAACUUUUUAAGAGUUGCCAUACCUUUAACAUAUGUACAUAUGUACAUAUUUAUGUGUUCCUUGAAAAAAUGUGCUUAGCUAGAGUCACUGAUGGCUGUUUUCACUGCCACGAGAAGAUUGUGUCAACCAACCAGAGAAUAUCCCGAACCAUAUAGUGAACGCCAUAGAUGAGAAUUGGCAACAACUGCUGCUGCUCCAUCGUCAUUUGCAUAUUAAUUAAAUGUCAAAGGGCCAGCAACAUAAAUCCUUCAAGCUGUCAUCUAUCCAAUAGUAGCAGCAGCAUCUUCUGUUCCCUCGAUUCAAAAUGUUCCACAGAAAUGAAAAAUCCAUAACCCGCUUAUAGCACACACAGAUGCUGCUGGAUCUGUUCUGCAGCUGGAGUUAGAGCAGUUGCUGCCAUGACAACCUACAAAGAUGACAUUUUCCCAUUGAUGCACGUUGCUGAUGAGCCAAAAAUCACAUUGCCAGCAAAACAAUUGGAUAUUGAGGAAGAUGAUUUUAUCCUUUCAUCAUGGCUUUGUAUGGUAAAUCUAAGGUUCUAUUUAAUCACGAGUUACAAGAACAACUGGAAAGGCAACCGUCGGCAAUGAUAAUGUCAAUUAAGUGCUAGAGAUUUGUAUAUAAUAUAUAAUGGACUUUACAUAUCAUAUUUGCAACUCUGCAAAAAUUAGUUUGAAGCAAUAUUAUCUUAAUCAUGCAAAUAAAUGUAUACUUUUACCUAA
Molecule: long non-coding RNA, 858 nt
Organism: Drosophila willistoni
Lineage: Eukaryota; Metazoa; Arthropoda; Insecta; Diptera; Drosophilidae
Exons: 4
Source: RefSeq, a predicted model, not a curated record